This 516-nucleotide ribosomal RNA is filed under the name uncultured bacterium. RNAcentral's name for it is "partial 16S ribosomal RNA". It matches the Rfam family "Bacterial small subunit ribosomal RNA", at positions 355 to 861 of the family's 1533-position model. The record is from RNAcentral.
UGGGGAAUUUUGGACAAUGGGCGAAAGCCUGAUCCAGCAAUGCCGCGUGUGUGAAGAAGGCCUUCGGGUUGUAAAGCACUUUUGUCCGGAAAGAAAUCCUUGGCUCUAAUACAGUCGGGGGAUGACGGUACCGGAAGAAUAAGCACCGGCUAACUACGUGCCAGCAGCCGCGGUAAUACGUAGGGUNCAAGCGUUAAUCGGAAUUACUGGGCGUAAAGCGUGCGCAGGCGGUUUGCUAAGACCGAUGUGAAAUCCCCGGGCUCAACCUGGGAACUGCAUUGGUGACUGGCAGGCUAGAGUAUGGCAGAGGGGGGUAGAAUUCCACGUGUAGCAGUGAAAUGCGUAGAGAUGUGGAGGAAUACCGAUGGCGAAGGCAGCCCCCUGGGCCAAUACUGACGCUCAUGCACGAAAGCGUGGGGGAGCAAAACAGGAUUAGAUACCCUGGUAGUCCACGCCCUAAACGAUGUCAACUAGUUGUUGGGGAUUCAUUUCCUUAGUAAACGUAGCUAACGCGUG